GAUGAACGCUGGCGGCGUGCCUAAUACAUGCAAGUCGAGCGGUAAGGCUCCUGCAGUUUAUUUGAUUACGAUUGCGCUCGCAGAGUAACCAGUUUACUGGUAUACGAAGCGAAGGCAAUCACAACAGACCCAAUCAACCCCGGCUAGGGAAGAAACGGCGAGGGAAAAUCGAAUGAAGUGCUGGAGUACACGAGCGGCGGACGGCUGAGUAACGCGUAGGAACGUACCCCAAACUGAGGGAUAAGCACCAGAAAUGGUGUCUAAUACCGCAUGUGCUCUAAGGAGUAAAGCUUCGGCGGUUUGGGAACGGCCUGCGUACGAUUAGAUUGUUGGUGAGGUAAUGGCUCACCAAGUCGACGAUCGUUAGCUGGUCUGAGAGGAUGAUCAGCCAGACUGGGACUGAGAACGGCCCAGACUCCUACGGGAGGCAGCAGUAGGGAAUUUUCCACAAUGGACGAAAGUCUGAUGGAGCAACGCCGCGUGAGUGAAGGAAGGGUUUC
RNAcentral lists this ribosomal RNA (500 nucleotides) under uncultured bacterium. Its description in RNAcentral is "bacterial SSU rRNA". It matches the Rfam family "Bacterial small subunit ribosomal RNA", at positions 28 to 419 of the family's 1533-position model. The record is from RNAcentral.